This 570-nucleotide ribosomal RNA is filed under the name uncultured Gammaproteobacteria bacterium. Its description in RNAcentral is "bacterial SSU rRNA". It matches the Rfam family "Bacterial small subunit ribosomal RNA", at positions 812 to 1382 of the family's 1533-position model. The record is from RNAcentral. Lineage: Bacteria; Pseudomonadati; Pseudomonadota; Gammaproteobacteria.
UCGAUUUGGAGUUUGUUGCCUAGAGUGAUGGGCUCCGAAGCUAACGCGAUAAAUCGACCGCCUGGGGAGUACGGCCGCAAGGUUAAAACUCAAAUGAAUUGACGGGGGCCCGCACAAGCGGUGGAGCAUGUGGUUUAAUUCGAUGCAACGCGAAGAACCUUACCUGGUCUUGACAUCCACAGAAUCUUGCAGAGAUGCGAGGGUGCCUUCGGGAACUGUGAGACAGGUGCUGCAUGGCUGUCGUCAGCUCGUGUUGUGAAAUGUUGGGUUAAGUCCCGCAACGAGCGCAACCCUUAUCCUUUGUUGCCAUUGGUUCGGCCGGGAACUCAAAGGAGACUGCCGUUGAUAAAGCGGAGGAAGGUGGGGACGACGUCAAGUCAUCAUGGCCCUUACGACCAGGGCUACACACGUGCUACAAUGGCGUAUACAAAGGGAGGCGACCUCGCGAGANCAAGCGGACCUCAUAAAGUACGUCUAAGUCCGGAUUGGAGUCUGCAACUCGACUCCAUGAAGUCGGAAUCGCUAGUAAUCNUGAAUCAGAAUGUCACGGUGAAUACGUUCCCCGGNCCU